This 495-nucleotide ribosomal RNA is filed under the name uncultured beta proteobacterium. Its description in RNAcentral is "bacterial SSU rRNA". It matches the Rfam family "Bacterial small subunit ribosomal RNA", at positions 40 to 528 of the family's 1533-position model. Lineage: Bacteria; Pseudomonadati; Pseudomonadota; Betaproteobacteria. The record is from RNAcentral.
CGGCAUGCCUUACACAUGCAAGUCGAACGGCAGCACGGGAGCAAUCCUGGUGGCGAGUGGCGAACGGGUGAGUAAUACAUCGGAACGUGUCCUGUAGUGGGGGAUAGCCCGGCGAAAGCCGGAUUAAUACCGCAUACGAUCUACGGAAGAAAGCGGGGGAUCCUUCGGGACCUCGCGCUAUAGGGGCGGCCGAUGGCAGAUUAGCUAGUUGGUGGGGUAAAGGCCUACCAAGGCGACGAUCUGUAGCUGGUCUGAGAGGACGACCAGCCACACUGGGACUGAGACACGGCCCAGACUCCUACGGGAGGCAGCAGUGGGGAAUUUUGGACAAUGGGGGAAACCCUGAUCCAGCAAUGCCGCGUGUGUGAAGAAGGCCUUCGGGUUGUAAAGCACUUUUGUCCGGAAAGAAAACCUUUGGGCUAAUACCCUGAGGGGAUGACGGUACCGGAAGAAUAAGCACCGGCUAACUACGUGCCAGCAGCCGCGGUAAUACGU